GAAAUGCGAUAAGUAGUGUGAAUUGCAGAAUUCAGUGAAUCAUCGAAUCUUUGAACGCACAUUGCGCCCUUUGGUAUUCCAAAGGGCAUGCCUGUUCGAGCGUCAUUUGUACCCUCAAGCUUUGCUUGGUGUUGGGCGUCUUGUCUCUAGCUUUGCUGGAGACUCGCCUUAAAGUAAUUGGCAGCCGGCCUACUGGUUUCGGAGCGCAGCACAAGUCGCACUCUCUAUCAGCAAAGGUCUAGCAUCCAUUAAGCCUUUUUACAACUUUUGACCUCGGAUCAGGUAGGGAUACCCGCUGAACUUAAGC
RNAcentral lists this unclassified non-coding RNA (307 nucleotides) under plant metagenome. RNAcentral describes it as "partial contains 5.8S ribosomal RNA, internal transcribed spacer 2, and large subunit ribosomal RNA". The stretch from base 1 to 105 matches the Rfam family "5.8S ribosomal RNA", at positions 50 to 154 of the family's 154-position model. The record is from RNAcentral.